This is a long non-coding RNA of Pseudophryne corroboree (corroboree frog), 1187 nucleotides long. RefSeq lists it as uncharacterized. Lineage: Eukaryota; Metazoa; Chordata; Amphibia; Anura; Myobatrachidae. The transcript has 5 exons. The record is from RefSeq and is a predicted model, not a curated record.
CACUGAUCUUUGGGAAGGACACACCUAUACUCUCUCUCAGAAUUGGAUGUAUAACCCUCCCACACCCAGCUCCGGCCAAGGCAGUGCGGUUGCCAUGGCAACCUCUAGGGUUCAGCUGGAUCAUGUCAUCAAUGGGUGUCAACUCUGCAUCUCCACCCCCAUAGCUGGCCAUGCUGACUUGUGAGAGCACAUGUCCUCAGGGGUAUAAGAAUGGGGGCAAACCCCUGGGUAAGAUGCCAGAAUCUCAACACCACUCACAAGACUGGCAUCAGAUCACAGACAGCUGACAUCUCGACGGCCUAAAGGUUUCACCGGGGAAGCUUGAUGACUAAGCUAAGCGACAGCAGUGGACAGCAAACACGUGGCAGGUUAACUACUGGUACCUUGUUGCAGGAUCAGAUAGGAAGACACUUGCAAACCGCAAGUGCUCGAGAAUCAAAAGCCCACUAGUACCUUUAUUCCACCUGUAGAAAAAAAUAUUAAACAAAUGAGAAGACACACAGACAGAUAUGUCACCACUCAUCCAGCCUUCAAAUGGACCACAGAUGAAUACUAGUCAUGAAUGUGACUGGCCACGGCAGGCUGUCAUCCAUGUCUACCAGCAGAUACUUGUGUUCUGGGCUAUUUUCAUGGUGGGCCGAGAGCUGCACCACCGGGAACAUCAACAAACAGUAGGCUGCAUUAAAUGCUUGGAAAUAAAUGCGGUUAUACAGUACUGUAUUCAGAGUGGGCCUCAUCUACGUUCCUUUAUAUAUCCAAUUAUGGAUACUGCAACUGCUCCUAUGAUAGGCAAAACAGCUUCACAAGAAAAAUAAAUCUUAAGUUUCAUGAAAGCUAUGAUAACAUUGCUAAGUUCUUUUAGUAUUACUUACUGUUAAACUUAUUAUAGUUUUAGCUGUAUACAUACAAAUGUAUUGUAAAUACUUUGCAAUUGUUUUGUAGCACCAGAUGGAGAUACAAGUUUAAAAAUAUUCACCAUAGCAUUUCAUUUGACUUGUACCAUCUGGAAAGAACAAGAAAUGUUGUAAGUAGUUGAAUACUGUAAUGAUCAUGAAAGAUGUUUAAAAUCUGCCAUCCCCAGAACACAGACUAAACACUUUUUAUUUGACAGAGAAAAAGUGGAUGUAAAAAAAAAAAAAAAUGACAUUGUUCAAAAAUGAUCUAAAAUAUGAUCCACUGUCCAUAAA